CCUCGGGAGGCUGCAGUAGGGAAUAUUGGUAAUGUGCGAAAGCGCGAACCAGCAACGCCGCGUGCACGAUGAAGGCCUUCGGGUUGUAAAGUGCUUUUUAGAGGGAUGAGGAAGGACAGUACUUCUAGAAUAAGCCUCGGCUAACUACGUGCCAGCAGCCGCGGUAAAACGUAGGAGGCCAGCGUUAUCCGGAUUUACUGGGCGUAAAGCGCGUGUAGGCGGUUUCGUAAGUUGGAUGUGAAAGCUCCUAGCUUAACUGGGAGAGGUCGUUCAAGACUGCGAGACUCGAGAGUGGUAGAGGAAGGUGGAAUUCCGGGUGUAGUGGUGAAAUGCGUAGAUAUCCGGAGGAACACCAGUGGCGAAAGCGGCCUUCUGGACCAUUUCUGACGCUCAGACGCGAAAGCUAAGGUAGCAAACG
RNAcentral lists this ribosomal RNA (418 nucleotides) under uncultured prokaryote. RNAcentral describes it as "bacterial SSU rRNA". It matches the Rfam family "Bacterial small subunit ribosomal RNA", at positions 339 to 774 of the family's 1533-position model. The record is from RNAcentral.